This 697-nucleotide ribosomal RNA is filed under the name uncultured Ralstonia sp. RNAcentral describes it as "bacterial SSU rRNA". It matches the Rfam family "Bacterial small subunit ribosomal RNA", at positions 65 to 754 of the family's 1533-position model. The record is from RNAcentral. Lineage: Bacteria; Pseudomonadati; Pseudomonadota; Betaproteobacteria; Burkholderiales; Burkholderiaceae.
GGCAGCAUGAUCUAGCUUGCUAGAUUGAUGGCGAGUGGCGAACGGGUGAGUAAUACAUCGGAACGUGCCCCGUAGUGGGGGAUAACUAGUCGAAAGAUUAGCUAAUACCGCAUACGACCUGAGGGUGAAAGUGGGGGACCGCAAGGCCUCAUGCUAUAGGAGCGGCCGAUGUCUGAUUAGCUAGUUGGUGAGGUAAAGGCUCACCAAGGCGACGAUCAGUAGCUGGUCUGAGAGGACGAUCAGCCACACUGGGACUGAGACACGGCCCAGACUCCUACGGGAGGCAGCAGUGGGGAAUUUUGGACAAUGGGCGAAAGCCUGAUCCAGCAAUGCCGCGUGUGUGAAGAAGGCCUUCGGGUUGUAAAGCACUUUUGUCCGGAAAGAAAUGGCUCUGGUUAAUACCUGGGGUCGAUGACGGUACCGGAAGAAUAAGGACCGGCUAACUACGUGCCAGCAGCCGCGGUAAUACGUAGGGUCCAAGCGUUAAUCGGAAUUACUGGGCGUAAAGCGUGCGCAGGCGGUUGUGCAAGACCGAUGUGAAAUCCCCGAGCUUAACUUGGGAAUUGCAUUGGUGACUGCACGGCUAGAGUGUGUCAGAGGGGGGUAGAAUUCCACGUGCAGCAGUGAAAUGCGUAGAGAUGUGGAGGAAUACCGAUGGCGAAGGCAGCCCCCUGGGAUAACACUGACGCUCAUGCAC